Molecule: long non-coding RNA, 8913 nt
Filed under: Brassica napus (rape)
Lineage: Eukaryota; Viridiplantae; Streptophyta; Magnoliopsida; Brassicales; Brassicaceae
Description: long non-coding RNA (BNAP_LNC000659)
Source: RNAcentral
AGCAGUUUUUUAGAAAAUUAUUUAAAAAUACAACCUAUUGAUGAAAAACUCAGAACAAAUACUCAUCUAUACACUAUAUACAAAAAUAUUUUUGUUAUCCUAAUUUUUAAAUCAUAAACCCUAAUCUACAUUAUUUCUAAAAAAAUGAAAACUUUCCAAAAAUAGCAGUUUUUAAGAUAUUUAAAAAUACAGCUUAUUGAUGAAAAACUUAGAAAAAAUACUCAUCUAUGCACAAAUAUUCUUGUUAUCCUAAUUUCUAAAUCACAAACCCUAAUCUACAGCAUUUCUCUAAAAAGUGAAAAGUUUCCAAAAUAGCAGUUUUUUAGAAAAUUAUUUUAAAUACUGUAGAACUGAUGAAAAAUUCUUUAAGUAUAACGAAUCUAUCCACAAAUAUUCUUGUUAUCCUAAUUAUUAAAUCACAAACCCUAAUCUACACUAUUUCUCUAAAAAAUGAAAACUUUUCAAAAAUAGCAACUUUUAAGAAAAUUAUUUAAAAAUACAGCUUAUUGAUGAAAAACAUAGAAAAAAUACUCAUCUAUGCACAAAUAUUCUUGUUAUCCUAAUCUCUAAAUCACAAACCCUAAUCUACAGUAUUUCUCUAAAAAAUGAAAACUUUCCAAAUAUAGCAGCUUUUAAGAAAAUUAUUUAAAAAUACAACCUAUUGAUUGAAAAACUAAGAAACAAUACUCAUCUAUCCAUAAAUAUUUUUGUUGUCCUAAUUUCUAAAUCACAAACCCUAAUUACAGUAUUUCUCUAAAAAAUAAUAUAGCAGCUUUUAAGAAAAUUAUUAAAAAAUACAACCUAUUGAUUAAAAAACUCAGAAAAAUACUCAUCCAUUCACAAAUAUUCUUGUUAUCCUAAUUUAUAAAUCACAAACCCUAAUCUAUAGUAUUUUCCUAAAAAAUGAAAACUUUCCAAAAAUAGCAGUUUUUAAGAAAAUUAUUUAAAAAUACAGCUUAUUGAUGAAAACUUUUAAAAAAAUACUCAUCUAUGCACAAAUAUUCUUGUUAUCCUAAUUUCUAAAUCAAAAACCCUAAUCUACAGUAUUUCUCUAAAAAAUGAAAUCUUUCCAAAAAUAUGAGUUUUUAAGAAAAUUAUUUUAAAUACUGUAGAAUUGAUGAAAAUUUAGUAUACUAAUCUAUGCACAAAUAUUCUUGUUAUACUAAUUUCUAAAUCACAUACCCUAAUCUACAGUAUUUCUCUAAAAAAUGAAAACUUUCCAGAUAUAGCAGCUUUUAAGAAAAUUAUUUAAAAAUACAACCUAUUGAUUGAAAAACUCAGAAACAAUACUCAUCUAUCCACAAAUAUUCUUGUUAUCCUAAUUUCUAAAUCACAAACCCUAAUCUAUAGUAUUUCUCUAAAAAAUGAAAACAUCCAAAAAUAGCAGUUUUUUAGAAAAUUAUUUAAAAAUACAACCUAUUGAUGAAAAACUCAGAACAAAUACUCAUCUAUACACAAAUAUUUUUGUUAUCCUAAUUUUUAAAUUACAAACCCUAAUCUACAUUAUUUCUAAAAAAAUGAAAACUUUCCAAAAAUAGCAGUUUUUAAGAUAUUUAAAAAUACAGCUUAUUGAUGAAAAACUUAGAAAAAAUACUCAUCUAUGCACAAAUAUUCUUGUUAUCCUAAUUUCUAAAUCACAAACCCUAAUCUACAGCAUUUCUCUAAAAAGUGAAAAGUUUCCAAAAUANNNNNNNNNNNNNNNNNNNNNNNNNNNNNNNNNNNNNNNNNNNNNNNNNNNNNNNNNNNNNNNNNNNNNNNNNNNNNNNNNNNNNNNNNNNNNNNNNNNNNNNNNNNNNNNNNNNNNNNNNNNNNNNNNNNNNNNNNNNNNNNNNNNNNNNNNNNNNNNNNNNNNNNNNNNNNNNNNNNNNNNNNNNNNNNNNNNNNNNNNNNNNNNNNNNNNNNNNNNNNNNNNNNNNNNNNNNNNNNNNNNNNNNNNNNNNNNNNNNNNNNNNNNNNNNNNNNNNNNNNNNNNNNNNNNNNNNNNNNNNNNNNNNNNNNNNNNNNNNNNNNNNNNNNNNNNNNNNNNNNNNNNNNNNNNNNNNNNNNNNNNNNNNNNNNNNNNNNAUAGCAGCUUUUAAGAAAAUUAUUUAAAAAUACAACCUAUUGAUUGAAAAACUCAGAAACAAUACUCAUCUAUCCACAAAUAUUCUUGUUAUCCUAAUUUCUAAAUCACAAACCCUAAUCUAUAGUAUUUCUCUAAAAAAUGAAAACAUCCAAAAAUAGCAGUUUUUUAGAAAAUUAUUUAAAAAUACAACCUAUUGAUGAAAAACUCAGAACAAAUACUCAUCUAUACACAAAUAUUUUUGUUAUCCUAAUUUUUAAAUUACAAACCCUAAUCUACAUUAUUUCUAAAAAAAUGAAAACUUUCCAAAAAUAGCAGUUUUUAAGAUAUUUAAAAAUACAGCUUAUUGAUGAAAAACUUAGAAAAAAUACUCAUCUAUGCACAAAUAUUCUUGUUAUCCUAAUUUCUAAAUCACAAACCCUAAUCUACAGCAUUUCUCUAAAAAGUGAAAAGUUUCCAAAAUAGCAGUUUUUUUGAAAAUUAUUUUAAAUACUGUAGAACUGAUGAAAAAUUCUUUAAGUAUAACGAAUCUAUCCACAAAUAUUCUUGUUAUCCUAAUUAUUAAAUCACAAACCCUAAUCUACACUAUUUCUCUAAAAAAUGAAAACUUUUCAAAAAUAGCAACUUUUAAGAAAAUUAUUUAAAAAUACAGCUUAUUGAUGAAAAACAUAGAAAAAAUACUCAUCUAUGCACAAAUAUUCUUGUUAUCCUAAUCUCUAAAUCACAAACCCUAAUCUAUAGUAUUUCUCUAAAAAAUGAAAACUUUCCAAAUAUAGCAGUUUUUAAGAAAAUUAUUUAAAAAUACAACCUAUUGAUUGAAAAACUAAGAAACAAUACUCAUCUAUCGACAAAUAUUCUUGUUAUCCUAAUUUCUAAAUCACAAACCCUAAUUACAGUAUUUCUCUAAAAAAUAAUAUAGAAGCUUUUAAGAAAAUUAUUAAAAAAUACAACCUAUUGAUUAAAAAACUCAGAAAAAUACUCAUCCAUUCACAAAUAUUCUUGUUAUCCUAAUUUCUAAAUCACAAACCCUAAUCUAUAGUAUUUCUCUAAAAAAUGAAAACAUCCAAAAAUAGCAGUUUUUUAGAAAAUUAUUUAAAAAUACAACCUAUUGAUUGAAAAACUCAGAAACAAUACUCAUCUAUCCACAAAUAUUCUUGUUAUCCUAAUUUCUAAAUCACAAACCCUAAUCUAUAGUAUUUCUCUAAAAAAUGAAAACAUCCAAAAAUAGCAGUUUUUUAGAAAAUUAUUUAAAAAUACAACCUAUUGAUUGAAAAACUCAGAAACAAUACUCAUCUAUCCACAAAUAUUCUUGUUAUCCUAAUUUCUAAAUCACAAACCCUAAUCUAUAGUAUUUCUCUAAAAAAUGAAAACAUCCAAAAAUAGCAGUUUUUUAGAAAAUUAUUUAAAAAUACAACCUAUUGAUUGAAAAACUCAGAAACAAUACUCAUCUAUCCACAAAUAUUCUUGUUAUCCUAAUUUCUAAAUCACAAACCCUAAUCUAUAGUAUUUCUCUAAAAAAUGAAAACAUCCAAAAAUAGCAGUUUUUUAGAAAAUUAUUUAAAAAUACAACCUAUUGAUGAAAAACUCAGAACAAAUACUCAUCUAUACACAAAUAUUUUUGUUAUCCUAAUUUUUAAAUUACAAACCCUAAUCUACAUUAUUUCUAAAAAAAUGAAAACUUUCCAAAAAUAGCAGUUUUUAAGAUAUUUAAAAAUACAGCUUAUUGAUGAAAAACUUAGAAAAAAUACUCAUCUAUGCACAAAUAUUCUUGUUAUCCUAAUUUCUAAAUCACAAACCCUAUUCUACAAACCCUAAUCUACAGCAUUUCUCUAAAUCACAAACCCUAUUCUUGAUAUCAUAAAUUUUUAAACCACAAACCCUAAUCUACAGCAUUUCUCUAAAAAUGAAAACUUUUCAAAAAUAGCAACUUUUAAGAAAAUUAUUUAAAAAUACAGCUUAUUGAUGAAAAACUUAGAAAAAAUACUCAUCUAUGCACAAAUAUUCUUGUUAUCCUAAUUUCUAUGAAAACUUUUCAAAAAGAGCAGUUUUUUAGAAAAUUAUUUAAAAAUACAACCUAUUGAUGAAAAACUCAGAAAAAAUACUCAUCUAUCCACAAAUAUUCUUGUUAUCCCAAUUUCUAAAUCACAAACCUUAAUCUACAGUAUAUUUCCAAGGAAUGAAAACUUUUCAAAAAUAGCAACUUUUAAGAAAAUUAUUUUAAAAUACAGCUUAUUGAUGAAAAACUUAGAAUAAAUACUCAUCUAUGCACAAAUAUUCUUGUUAUCCUAAUUUCCAAAUCACAAACCCUAAUCUAGAGUAUUUUUCUAAAAAAUGAAAACUUUUCAAAGAUAGCAGCCUUUGAGAAAAUUAUUUAAAAAUACAACCUAUUGAUGAAAAACUAAGAAAAAAUACUCAUCUAUCCACAAAUAUUCUUGUUAUCAUAAUUUCUAAAUCACAAACCCUAAUCUACAGUAUUUCUAUAAAAAAAUGAAAUCUUUCCAAAUACAGCAGCUUUUAAGAAUACAACCUAUUGAUUGAAAAACUCAGAUAUUCUUGUUAUUUGACAAUACUCAUCUAUCCACAAAUAUUCUUGUUAUCCUAAUUUCCAAAUCACAAACCCUAAUCUAGAGUAUUUCUCUAAAAAAUGAAAACUUUUCAGAAAUAGCAGCUUUUAGGAAAAUUAUUUAAAAAUACAGCUUAUUGAUGAAAAACUUAGAAAAAAUACUCAUCUAUCCACAAAUAUUCUUGUUAUCCUAAUUUCCAAAUCACAAACCCUAAUCUAGAGUAUUUCUCUAAAAAAUGAAAACUUUUCAGAAAUAGCAGCUUUUAGGAAAAUUAUUUAAAAAUACAGCUUAUUGAUGAAAAACUUAGAAAAAAUACUCAUCUAUCCACAAAUAUUCUUGUUAUCCUAAUAUUUAAAUCACAAACUCUAAUCUACAGUAUUUCUCUAAAAAUGAAAACAUUUCAAAAAUAGCAAUUUUUAAGAAAAUUAUUUAAAAAUACAACAUAUUGAUGAAAAACUCAGAAAAAAUACUCAUCUAUCCACAAAUAUUCUUGUUAUCCUAAUUUUUAAAUCACAAACCCUAAUCUAGAGUAUUUCUCUAAAAAAUGAAAACUUUUCAAAAAUAGCAGCUUUUGAGAAAUUAUUUAAAAGUACAACCAAUUGAUGAAAAACUCAGAAAAAAUACUCAUCUAUCCACAAAUAUUCUUGUUAUCCUAAUUUCUAAAUCACAAACCCUAAUCUAUAGUAUUUCUCUAAAAAAUGAAAACUUUCCAAAAAUAGCAGUUUUUUAGAAAAUUAUUUUAAAUACUGUAGAACUGAUGAAAAAUUCUUAAAGUAUACUAAUCUAUCCACAAAUAUUCUUGUUAUCCUAAUUUCUAAAUCACAAACCCUAAUCUAUAGUAUUUCUCUAAAAAAUGAAAACUUUCCAAAAAUAGCAGUUUUUUAGAAAAUUAUUUUAAAUACUGUAGAACUGAUGAAAAAUUCUUAAAGUAUACUAAUCUAUCCACAAAUAUUCUUGUUAUCCUAAUUUCUAAAUCACAAACCCUAAUCUAUAGUAUUUCUCUAAAAAAUGAAAACUUUCCAAAAAUAGCAGUUUUUUAGAAAAUUAUUUUAAAUACUGUAGAACUGAUGAAAAAUUCUUAAAGUAUACUAAUCUAUCCACAAAUAUUCUUGUUAUCCUAAUUUCUAAAUCACAAACCCUAAUCUAUAGUAUUUCUCUAAAAAAUGAAAACUUUCCAAAAAUAGCAGUUUUUUAGAAAAUUAUUUUAAAUACUGUAGAACUGAUGAAAAAUUCUUAAAGUAUACUAAUCUAUCCACAAAUAUUCUUGUUAUCCUAAUUUCUAAAUCACAAACCCUAAUCUAUAGUAUUUCUCUAAAAAAUGAAAACUUUCCAAAAAUAGCAGUUUUUUAGAAAAUUAUUUUAAAUACUGUAGAACUGAUGAAAAAUUCUUAAAGUAUACUAAUCUAUCCACAAAUAUUCUUGUUAUCCUAAUUUCUAAAUCACAAACCCUAAUCUAUAGUAUUUCUCUAAAAAAUGAAAACUUUCCAAAAAUAGCAGUUUUUUAGAAAAUUAUUUUAAAUACUGUAGAACUGAUGAAAAAUUCUUAAAGUAUACUAAUCUAUCCACAAAUAUUCUUGUUAUCCUAAUUUCUAAAUCACAAACCCUAAUCUAUAGUAUUUCUCUAAAAAAUGAAAACUUUCCAAAAAUAGCAGUUUUUUAGAAAAUUAUUUUAAAUACUGUAGAACUGAUGAAAAAUUCUUAAAGUAUACUAAUCUAUCCACAAAUAUUCUUGUUAUCCUAAUUUCUAAAUCACAAACCCUAAUCUAUAGUAUUUCUCUAAAAAAUGAAAACUUUCCAAAAAUAGCAGUUUUUUAGAAAAUUAUUUUAAAUACUGUAGAACUGAUGAAAAAUUCUUAAAGUAUACUAAUCUAUCCACAAAUAUUCUUGUUAUCCUAAUUUCUAAAUCACAAACCCUAAUCUAUAGUAUUUCUCUAAAAAAUGAAAACUUUCCAAAAAUAGCAGUUUUUUAGAAAAUUAUUUUAAAUACUGUAGAACUGAUGAAAAAUUCUUAAAGUAUACUAAUCUAUCCACAAAUAUUCUUGUUAUCCUAAUUUCUAAAUCACAAACCCUAAUCUAUAGUAUUUCUCUAAAAAAUGAAAACUUUCCAAAAAUAGCAGUUUUUUAGAAAAUUAUUUUAAAUACUGUAGAACUGAUGAAAAAUUCUUAAAGUAUACUAAUCUAUCCACAAAUAUUCUUGUUAUCCUAAUUUCUAAAUCACAAACCCUAAUCUAUAGUAUUUCUCUAAAAAAUGAAAACUUUCCAAAAAUAGCAGUUUUUUAGAAAAUUAUUUUAAAUACUGUAGAACUGAUGAAAAAUUCUUAAAGUAUACUAAUCUAUCCACAAAUAUUCUUGUUAUCCUAAUUUCUAAAUCACAAACCCUAAUCUAUAGUAUUUCUCUAAAAAAUGAAAACUUUCCAAAAAUAGCAGUGUUUUAGAAAAUUAUUUAAAAAUACAACCUAUUGAUGAAAAACUCAGAAAAAAUACUCAUCUAUCCACAAAUAUUCUUGUUAUCCUAAUUUCUAAAUCACAAACCCUAAUCUACAGUAUUUUUCUAAAGAAUGAAACUUUUCAAAAAUAGCAACUUUUAAGAAAAUUAUUUAAAAAUACAACCUAUUGAUUGAAAAACUCAGAUAUUCUUGUUAUUUAAUAACAUUCAUCUAUGCACAAAUAUUUUUGGUUAUCCUAAUUUCUAAAUCAAAAACCCUAAUCUACAGUAUUUCUCUAAAAAAUGAAAACUUUCCAAAUAUAGCAGCUUUUAAGAAAAUUAUUUAAAAAUACAACCUAUUGAUGAAAAACUCAGAAAAAAUACUCAUCUAUCCACAAAUAUUCUUGCUAGUUUCAAAAUCACAAAACCUAAUCUACAAUAUUUCUCAAGAAAAUGAAAACUUUCCAAAAAUAGCAGUUUUUAAGAAAAUUAUUUAUAAAUACAACAUAUUCAUGAAAAAUUCUUAAAGAAUACUCAUAUAUCCAAAAAUAUUCUUGUUAUACUAGUUUCAAAAUCACAAAACCUAAUCUACAAUAUUUUUCAAGAAAAUGAAAACUUUCCAAAAAUAGCAGUUUUUAAGAAAAUUAUUUAUAAAUACAACAUAUUCAUGAAAAAUUCUUAAAGAAUACUCAUAUAUCCAAAAAUAUUCUUGUUAUACUAGUUUCAAAAUCACAAAACCUAAUCUACAAUAUUUUUCAAGAAAAUGAAAACUUUCCAAAAAUAGCAGUUUUUAAGAAAAUUAUUUAUAAAUACAACAUAUUCAUGAAAAAUUCUUAAAGAAUACUCAUAUAUCCAAAAAUAUUCUUGUUAUACUAGUUUCAAAAUCACAAAACCUAAUCUACAAUAUUUUUCAAGAAAAUGAAAACUUUCCAAAAAUAGCAGUUUUUAAGAAAAUUAUUUAAAAAUACAACCUAUUGAUGAAAAAAUCAGAAAGAAUACUCAUAUAUCCAAAAAUAUUCUUGUUAUCCUUAUUUCUAAAUCACAAACCCUAAUCUACAGUAUUUCUCUAAAAAAUGAAAACUUUCCAAAUAUAGCAGCUUUUAAGAAAAUUAUUUAAAAAUACAACCUAUUGAUGAAAAACUCACAAAAAAUACUCAUCUAUCCACAAAUAUUCUUGUUAUCCUAAUUUCUAAAUCACAAACCCUAAUUACAGUAUUUCUCUAAAAAAAUAAUAUAGCAGCUUUUAAGAAAAUUAUUUCAAUAUACAACCUAUUGAUUGAAAAAGUCAGAAAAAUACUCAUUUAUCCACAAAUUUUCUUGUUAUCCUAAUUUCUAAAUCACAAACCGUAAUCUACAGUAUUUUUCUAAAAAAUGUAAACUUUCCAAAAAUAGCAGUUUUUAAGAAAAUUAUUUAAAAAUGCAGCUUAUUGAUGAAAAACUUUAAAAAAAAUACUCAUCUAUGCACAAAUAUUCUUGUUAUCCUAAUUUCUAAAUCAAAAACACUAAUCUACAGUAUUUCUCUAAAAAAUGAAAACUUUCCAAAAAUAGCAAAUUUUUAGAAAAUUAUUUAAAAUACUGUAGAAUUGAUGAAAAAUUCUUUAAGUAUACUAAUCUAUCCAAAAAUAUUCUUGUUAUCCUAAUUUCCAAAUCACAAACCCUAAUCUAGAGUAUUUCUCUAAAAAAUGAAAACUUUUCAAAAAUAGCAGCUUUUAUAAUAAUUAUUUAAAAAUACAAACUACUGAUGAAAAACUCAGAAAAAAAUACUCAUCUAUCCACAAAUAUUCUUGUUAUCCUAAUGUUUAAAUCACAAACCCUAAUCUACAGUAUUUCUCUAAAAAAAUGAAAAAUUUCAAAAAAUAGAA